CCUACGGGUGGCAGCAGUGAGGAAUAUUGGUCAAUGGACGUAAGCCUGAACCAGCCAAGUCGCGUGAGGGAUGAAGGUUCUAUGGAUCGUAAACUGCUUUUAUAAGGGCGUAAAGGGAGGGACGUGUCCCGGUCUGAAAGUAUCGUAUGAAUAAGGAACGGCUAACUCCGUGCCAGCAGCCGCGGUAAUACGGAGGAUCCGAGCGUUAUCCGGAUUUAUUGGGUUUAAAGGGUGCGUAGGCGGUCGUAUAAGUUAGAGGUGAAAGUCUGUGGCUCAACGUUGGAAUUGCCGGUGAGACUGGUAGGCUAGAGUGUGUUUGCGGCAGGCGGAAUGUAUGGUGUAGCGGUGAAAUGCUUAGAGAUCACACAGAACACCGAUUGCGAAGGCAGCCUACCAAGCCAUGACUGACGCUGAUGCACGAAAGCGUGGGGAGCAAACAGGAUUAGAUACCCGUGUAGUC
Molecule: ribosomal RNA, 460 nt
Filed under: uncultured bacterium
Lineage: Bacteria
Description: partial 16S ribosomal RNA
Rfam family: Bacterial small subunit ribosomal RNA
Source: RNAcentral